ACGAGACCCUGAGCUAGCCCUGGGGAGGGAGACAGCAGCUUUGCAGCCGUUAUCCUCAGGAAGCCCUGAGCGCUGAGAGGCACUGUUACAGAACCGAACUGGGGUCCACUCGCUAGGGAGGGACAUUCCACUUUUUAAAUCAGCUUUCUGAAGCAUGAUCUCCAUAUAAUCACCUAGAAGCGUACAGCACAAUGAUCUUGACAGAUGCCAGCAUCCUUGGAACCACUGCCACCACCAACGUCUCAAACCAUUCCAUCAAACCCAGAACACUCCUGGUGCCCUGAAGCGUCUCCCUUCAGUGGCAGAACCAGCAGAGAUUCAGUGGUCACAAGGCUGGUCUGGAACUCCUGGGUGCAAGCGAUCCUUCCACCUCGGCCUCCCAAAGUGCUGGGAUUAGAGGCAUAAGCCACCGCGCCCAGCCAGGAAUGGAUUUUCUCACAGUUCUCGAUGGCGGAAGUCUGAGAUCAAGGUCUUGGCAGGGCUAGGUCUCUCUGAGGCCUUUCUCCCCAGCUUAUAGGUCGCCGCCUCCUCUCUCUGUCUUUCCUUGUCUUCCUUGUGUCCACAGUUGUGUCCAAAUUCCCCUUUCUCAUAAGGACGUCAGUCAUGUUGGAUUAGGGCCCUCCCUCCUGACCUUGUUUUAGCUUAAUCUCUGCAACUUAACCCUUAACCUCAGUAAAGAUCCUAUUUCCAAA
Long non-coding RNA from Homo sapiens (human), 692 nucleotides. Ensembl annotates it as long intergenic non-protein coding RNA 1532. The record is from Ensembl. Lineage: Eukaryota; Metazoa; Chordata; Mammalia; Primates; Hominidae.